Molecule: ribosomal RNA, 1164 nt
Filed under: human gut metagenome
Description: bacterial LSU rRNA
Rfam family: Bacterial large subunit ribosomal RNA
Source: RNAcentral
UCCAAUCGAACCCGGAGAUAGCUGGUUCUCCCCGAAAUAGCUUUAGGGCUAGCGUUGUAUAUCAUUACCGGAGGUAAAGCACUGAAUGGCCUAGGGCCCUAACGGGUACCGAAGCCUAUCAAACUAAGAAUGCCGGAUAAUGUGAGUACAGCAGUCAGACUAUGGGAGAUAAGUUUCAUGGUCAAAAGGGAAACAGCCCAGACCCACAGCUAAGGUCCCAAAUAUGAUUUAAGUGGAAAACGAUGUGGAGUUGCGAAAACAACCAGGAUGUUGGCUUAGAAGCAGCCACUCAUUCAAAGAGUGCGUAAUAGCUCACUGGUCGAGUGACUCUGCGCGGAAAAUUCAACGGGGCUAAAAUCAUAACCGAAGCUUGGGAUGCAAUUAAUGCAUGGUAGGGGAGCGUUGUGUAAGGGGCGAAGUCACAGCGAAAGCGGUGGUGGACAUUACACAAGUGAGAAUGCCGGAAUGAGUAGCGCGAAUUAUGUGAGAAUCAUAAUGGCCGAAAGUCUAAGGUUUUUGGAGGAAGGUUCGUCCGCUCCAAGUUAGUCGGGAGCUAAGGUGAGGCCGAAAGGCGUAGCCGAUGCACAUACGGUAGAAAUUCCGUAACCGUCGAAGUAUUUAAGCAAAGGGACACUUUGGGAAGGUACAAGCCAGGCGUUGGUAGCCCUGGCCGUAAGGGACUGAAAAUUAGUAGGGAAGUGUACUGGAACAGAGGCGAGAAAAGCUUUGUGUAUAUACAAGACGCCCGUACCGCAAACCGACACAGGUAGAUGGGAAGAAAAUUCUAAGGCCAACGGGAGAAGGGUUGUUAAGGAACUCGGCAAGUUGACCCCGUAACUUCGGAAGAAGGGGUGCUCUGGAAACAGAGCCGCAGAGAAUAGGUCCAGGCGACUGUUUAGCAAAAACACAGCUCUAUGCUAAAUCGAAAGAUGACGUAUAUGGGGUGACACCUGCCCGGUGCUGGAAGGUUAAGAGGAGAUGUGCAAGCAUUGAAUCGAAGCCCCAGUAAACGGCGGCCGUAACUAUAACGGUCCUAAGGUAGCGAAAUUCCUUGUCAGGUAAGUUCUGACCCGCACGAAUGGUGUAACGAUCUGGGCACUGUCUCAACAACCCGCCCGGCGAAAUUGUAGUACCGGUGAAGAUGCCGGUUACCCGCGACAAGAC